UUAAAGGAACGAGGAACAGUCCAUAGGACA
This 30-nucleotide non-coding RNA is filed under the name Cricetulus griseus (Chinese hamster). Lineage: Eukaryota; Metazoa; Chordata; Mammalia; Rodentia; Cricetidae. The record is from RNAcentral.